Prionailurus viverrinus (fishing cat) is the source of this 1432-nucleotide long non-coding RNA. RefSeq lists it as uncharacterized. The transcript has 2 exons. The record is from RefSeq and is a predicted model, not a curated record. Lineage: Eukaryota; Metazoa; Chordata; Mammalia; Carnivora; Felidae.
GCGAGGUGCACCCGGCGCGCAAGAUGGCUGCGGCCGCUGCCCGCGCCCCGGGGCGCCUCCCGCCCACGCCGCCCGGAGCCCCCCAACCACGCCACGCCCACCCCGCCGGGCGCCUCCCGAGGGGCGCGGGGACCCGGUGGGCGCAUCCCCCGCCGCCUGUGUCGUAAAGACCUUUCCCUUCUCGCAGCCUGUCCCCUUGCUUUGCGGAGGACUUUGCCGGAUUUAGGGUUCGAGUCCUAAUGGCAGAUGUAGGGUGUGAGAUCGUUCGCUCCACAGCGGACAGAGGGGGGGAAAAACGUAAAUAAACCCAAAGGAGCCGGCGGCCCCAGGGGAGCCUGGGCCGUUUUAGAGUGGGGCAGCCCCUGUGGUCAGGUCAUUUUGUAGUUCUUGCACCAGGACGAGGCCGGGUUCUGAGACCCGCGGGCCGCCGUUCUCGUGCACGUGGUCGGAGCUCCUGCCUUCGGAUUCGGCUGAGGACACAAGCAUAGAAGACGCUCCACGGCUGAACGCUCCGGUUAAAGGGCACAUUGUGGUCUAAUUUGACUUGACUAACUCAGAGCUAUGGUAAAAUCUCCAUAGGCAGGAAUUCUAGGAAUUGUUUUAAAUAUUUUUUUUUUUUUGCAGAUGGUUCUCCAGAGGACAUUUUAAAAACACACAAACACACAUGGACGGUGGUGGGCAGUAGGAUUUGUCACUCUGUGAUGAAGACAGCUAACUCUAAGGCAGUGGUUCUCUAAGCGUGCUUCCCAGGCCAGCAGCAUCGACCUCACCUCUGAACUUGCAGAAAUGGAAACUCACAGCCUGGCCGUGGCCUUCUGGAACUUGCAACUGAGAAGAUCCCAUAACUGAGGAACACCUACCUCACUUCCGUGUGGAAGACAGACUCUUUCCUUCCCUCUGAGGGAGCUCCACGAGGGUAAUGCGUCUGGCCUCCCCUGUCCCCUCGAUGGAGAAGGCCUUCAUUUGGAAGGAGAACCUGGUCAUGUGAAGCCUGUCUCUGUCUCUCUUGGGGCCAGCUCACCGGCCAAGAGGGGGGCUCUGCCCCUUCGGGCCACAUGUGUGGUAGGGCCCAGCCCCAGCUGGGAGGCCCACGUGGUGCAGGGCCACCUCUGGGAGGGCGGCAUACCCCUCUAAUUCUGUGGUUCUAGGAUGUCCACCUGCCCGCAGAUGUAGGCCACAUUCCCAACAGCGGCUUUAGCACAAGAAAGCUUUCCGGUGUUUCUCCACUGUUUUGAAACCAGGGUGGGAAAGAGGAGCGUUCUGUAUUAGGUGCCUUCACACUAUAAAGGCACCCCUAGUCUCUCCCCCAGGCUGCUCCACACAAGCGGAAAGCAAUGGCCGUCCCUCCAGUGCCAUCAGACUGCCAGAAACUUCCUGCUUGGACUCUCCCAAUGCCUCCUGAGACAACAAAACCUUUCUUCAUUAAAGACUU